This 677-nucleotide ribosomal RNA is filed under the name uncultured bacterium. Its description in RNAcentral is "bacterial SSU rRNA". It matches the Rfam family "Bacterial small subunit ribosomal RNA", at positions 42 to 719 of the family's 1533-position model. The record is from RNAcentral.
GAUGGCCUAACACAUGCAAGUCGAGCGGCACCUCCCCUCGGGGAGGGAGAGCGGCGCACGGGUGAGUAACACGUAUGCAACCUGCCCACAACAAGGGGAUAGCCCGUCGAAAGACGGAUUAAUACCCUAUGACACAGGGGUCCCGCAUGGGGAUAUUUGUUAAAGAUUAAUCGGUUGUGGAUGGGCAUGCGUUCCAUUAGCUGGUUGGCGGGGUAACGGCCCACCAAGGCAACGAUGGAUAGGGGAACUGAGAGGUUUAUCCCCCACACUGGGACUGAGACACGGCCCAGACUCCUACGGGAGGCAGCAGUGAGGAAUAUUGGUCAAUGGACGCAAGUCUGAACCAGCCAAGUCGCGUGGAGGAUGACGGCCCUACGGGUUGUAAACUCCUUUUGCAGGGGAAUAAAGUUGGCCACGCGUGGCCAUUUGCAUGUACCUUGCGAAUAAGGAUCGGCUAACUCCGUGCCAGCAGCCGCGGUAAUACGGAGGAUCCGAGCGUUAUCCGGAUUUAUUGGGUUUAAAGGGUGCGCAGGCGGCCCGUUAAGUCGGCGGUGAAAUUUUGCGGCUCAACCGUAAAAGUGCCUUCGAUACUGGCGGGCUUGAGUGUGGAUGAAGCGGGCGGAAUUCGUGGUGUAGCGGUGAAAUGCAUAGAUAUCACGAAGAACCCCGAUUGCGAA